GAGGCUUCUCUCAUGAGUGGCACAUGUGGGCAACUUGCUUGCUUUGUGUGUGGAAUCUAUAUCAAGAGAUUUCAGAAGCAUCAUUUUUUGGUGCUUGGGAAGCUGGUGAUCAUUGGUCUUGGAACUCUU
This is a non-coding RNA of Fukomys damarensis (Damara mole-rat), 129 nucleotides long. The record is from Rfam. Lineage: Eukaryota; Metazoa; Chordata; Mammalia; Rodentia; Bathyergidae.